This 437-nucleotide ribosomal RNA is filed under the name gamma proteobacterium SCGC AAA023-D07. RNAcentral's name for it is "bacterial SSU rRNA". It matches the Rfam family "Bacterial small subunit ribosomal RNA", at positions 357 to 785 of the family's 1533-position model. The record is from RNAcentral. Lineage: Bacteria; Pseudomonadati; Pseudomonadota; Gammaproteobacteria.
GGGAAUAUGUGGACAAUGGGCGCAAGCCUGAUCCAGCCAUACCGCGUGGGUGAAGAAGGCCUUCGGGUUGUAAAGCCCUUUUGUUGGGAAAGAAAUCCAGCCGGCUAAUACCUGGUUGGGAUGACGGUACCCAAAGAAUAAGCACCGGCUAACUUCGUGCCAGCAGCCGCGGUAAUACGAAGGGUGCAAGCGUUACUCGGAAUUACUGGGCGUAAAGCGUGCGUAGGUGGUUAUUUAAGUCCGUUGUGAAAGCCCUGGGCUCAACCUGGGAACUGCAGUGGAUACUGGAUGACUAGAAUGUGGUAGAGGGUAGCGGAAUUCCUGGUGUAGCAGUGAAAUGCGUAGAGAUCAGGAGGAACAUCCAUGGCGAAGGCAGCUACCUGGACCAACAUUGACACUGAGGCACGAAAGCGUGGGGAGCAAACAGGAUUAGAUAC